GCGUAUCUAACUUGUCUGACGUGUCACUCUCCUAGAAGCUCUUAGAGAUAUCUAAUGAGUAUUCCAGUAAGCUCCGAUUAAAUUCUUCCAUCUUCUUAAAUCCUCCUCGGUGCUGUCAAAACAUAGCGACGUAAGGUAAAAACGGAUAUAAUCUGCAAAAUUGGUCGUUUACAAGCUUAAAAGAAAAAUACUACUAGUAAAACAUCAGAGCUAAUUUAUGGCUUUGGCUCGUUUGGCUUUGAAAAAUUUGCAACAGAGAUGUUCUUUACCAUCAUAUCAGUGUGCCUCCGAAAGAACUGUAAACUCUGUCCAGAAACAGAGAUGGGGUUCUGAACUUCUUAGAAGGAUAUCAUCAGCCGCCGGCAAG
Molecule: long non-coding RNA, 367 nt
Filed under: Coffea arabica (coffee)
Lineage: Eukaryota; Viridiplantae; Streptophyta; Magnoliopsida; Gentianales; Rubiaceae
Description: long non-coding RNA (CARA_LNC003059)
Source: RNAcentral